CAGGACGAACGCUGGCGGCGUGCCUAACACAUGCAAGUCGAACGGAGUCAAGAAGCUUGCUUUUGACUUAGUGGCGGACGGGUGAGUAACGCGUGAGUAACCUGCCUCUGAGAGGGGAAUAACGUUCUGAAAAGAACGCUAAUACCGCAUAACGUAUCGAAGCCGCAUGACUUUGAUACCAAAGAUUUUAUCGCUCGGAGAUGGACUCGCGUCCGAUUAGUUAGUUGGUGAGGUAACGGCUCACCAAGACCGCGAUCGGUAGCCGGACUGAGAGGUUGAUCGGCCACAUUGGGACUGAGACACGGCCCAGACUCCUACGGGAGGCAGCAGUGGGGGAUAUUGCGCAAUGGGGGCAACCCUGAACCGCAGCAACGCCGCGUGAAGGAUGAAGGUUUUCGGAUUGUAAACUUCUUUUAUCAGGGACGAAGCUUGACGGUACCUGAUGAAUAAGCUCCGGCUAACUACGUGCCAGCAGCGGC
RNAcentral lists this ribosomal RNA (479 nucleotides) under uncultured bacterium. Its description in RNAcentral is "bacterial SSU rRNA". It matches the Rfam family "Bacterial small subunit ribosomal RNA", at positions 25 to 518 of the family's 1533-position model. The record is from RNAcentral.